Molecule: ribosomal RNA, 208 nt
Filed under: uncultured bacterium
Lineage: Bacteria
Description: partial 16S ribosomal RNA
Rfam family: Bacterial small subunit ribosomal RNA
Source: RNAcentral
UACGUAGGGUGCAAGCGUUGUCCGGAAUUAUUGGGCGUAAAGAGCUCGUAGGCGGUCUGUCGCGUCUGCUGUGAAAACUCAGGGCUUAACCCUGAGCUUGCAGUGGGUACGGGCAGACUAGAGUGCGGUAGGGGGAGACUGGAAUUCCUGGUGUAGCGGUGAAAUGCGCAGAUAUCAGGAGGAACACCGGUGGCGAAGGCGGGGUCUC